GCAAGGUCAAAGGACCUUGGAGAAAAAAUUUCAGAAAAUUUAAAGACUUAAAAGUAUUUUUAAACAAUUAAAAAUAAUCACAAAAUCAAUUAAAUCAUGAAAAAUAUUAAUAAUGAUCCAAAAAGUAAUUUUAAUUCAGAAUAUGAAAGAGGAAAUUAUUUGAAUAUUUUUUUGUGAAAUUCUCAUAUUUUUUGGAUCAAUAUUAAAAUUAAUAUGAAUUAAUGAAAAUAAAAGGAAUAAAAGAAAAUCAGAAAAUAACAAAAA
This 264-nucleotide long non-coding RNA is filed under the name Lathyrus oleraceus (garden pea). Its description in RNAcentral is "Pisum sativum (pea) long non-coding RNA (PSAT_LNC020924)". The record is from RNAcentral. Lineage: Eukaryota; Viridiplantae; Streptophyta; Magnoliopsida; Fabales; Fabaceae.